RNAcentral lists this ribosomal RNA (915 nucleotides) under Bemisia afer. RNAcentral's name for it is "small subunit ribosomal RNA". The record is from RNAcentral. Lineage: Eukaryota; Metazoa; Arthropoda; Insecta; Hemiptera; Aleyrodidae.
CAAACCAAUGGGUUUGUAGCAAUUUAAACCUCGUUUUUAUAACAGAAGCACCUCUACGCCAAUCACCAAGCCUACACAGCCACUCUUCUUUCACACAGUCUGGCCGCAACCUGUCACUUGUCCCUAGCCCGGACCCAAAGUGCCAAAUGUAGUCUACUGCAAUUAUGUUAGUAUAAAACUUUAUUUUAGUUUAAAAAUUAGGGAAGAUAGCUGGUUGUAUGUCAAAUAUUUAUUAAACAAGUUGAUCGAACAACAUCUAAAAUUUUAAAAUUAAGGAAAUUUAAAUAAAGAACUCCAAACUAGCCAAUUAAGUGCCAGCAGUUGCGGUUAAACUUAAAGUUAUCUAAUUAGCUAUACUUUAAUUAUACAAAACUCCUGCAAGUCUCAAUCAAGUGGUCAGUAGGUGAAAUUUUAAACCUCUGGAAAAGACUAUAACUAUAACAAUUUUAACAAUUCUUAAAAACUAGGAUUAGAUACCCUACUAUCGAUAAGUAUUUAAAUAAGGUAGUAAAAGAUAAAUCUUCAAACUUAAGAAAUUUGGCGGUAGUUUAACCUAACUAGAGGAAUCUGCCCUGUAAUUGAUGAUCCACUAUUCGUCCCACUUUGUAGAUUUUGUAUAUUUAUAUAUCGCUGUAAAAUAUAAGCUAAAAAGUAAUAUAUAAAAAAGAAGCCAUAAACUAAUAGCUCAAGUCAACACAUAAUUAUUACCAAGGUUGAGGUGGGUUACAUUUAUUUCGAAUUAAUGGAAUGAGAUUAAUUAAAGAUAAACACAAAACCGGAUUUAGAAGUAAGCUCGACUAGAUAGUCUAACUGAAUUAGAAAUAAACUAUGUACAAAUCGCCCGUCAUUCUUAAAUAAAUUAAGACAAGUCGUAACAAAGUAGAGUUACUGGAAAGUGACUUUAGAAUUAGCAAG